AUUAUUUAUACUUCAUUUUUUUAAUUUAAAUUAAUUUAUUUUAAUUGGAGGCUAAUUACAAUAUUGUAUUGGUUUUGCCAUACAUCAACAUGAAUCCACCACAGGUGUACACGUGUUCCCCAUCCAUCCUGAACCCCCCUCCCACAUCCCUCCCCGUACCAUCCCUCUGGGUCAUCCCAGUGCACCAGCCCCAAGCAUCAUUUCUAAAUUACUUAUUGAGUGUGUAGUGUAUAUGCUGGGGAUAAGAUAAAAGGGUUUUCUCUAGACUGCCUGAGCUCAGGCUUCCCAGGUGGCGCUAGUGGUAAAGAACCCGCCUGCCAAUGCAGGAGACAGACUGACAGAGAACUAACCUGCUGGCCAGGGGUCAACUAGAAACAAAUUUGUUAGCUCCACCCUGAGGGUGGGAAGCUGGGGCCCAAGCUUUUCUCUUCUCUUGCAGCUACUUUCAUCAAUAUUUCCUCUGCAGCUGAACGGGCUGGCACGCAACCUGCAAUGAGGCUCCGCUCCGAAGAUGCCCACCUCUGCUGGACCUCCUGGCUCCUGGGAUUCAUCAGUCUCCUUCUCAAACACAAAGAAGAAAGGGUCCCUACCAUCACUGGCAUCUAGAGAGAGUCAUGGAGACGGAGGAGAUGUGCCAAGGCACAGUUUCCAGUCCUUUAGGCAUCUGCAGCACUGGGGCCAAGAGUCCUGGUGCAUGUGGUUCUGAAGUUCAGGAUCCUGGAGCCCGUGUUCCCCUGCAGGGGAUCCGAGGAGGGUCUGUGUUGUUUCAUGUGACCACGAAGCAAGAAGCUGAACCAGAGGAAGUCUCAUGGGCCUUUGGCUCUGAGUCAAACUACAGUGUCCUGCUGCGAGUCCAUCGUGUGGCAGACACUCCAACCUGGGUCAGCCUCCAGGACAAGUACCAGCAGAGGGUCCAUGUGCCCAACAUCCUGUCCCUGAAGAUUGAGAACCUGACCUGUGAGGACAGUGGACAGUACCGGGCUCGAGUCAGCUUCCCUGGAGGAGUCGAAUAUACCCAGGUUUUCCUCCUCACUGUCUAUGAUUCUGGUGGGAUCAACAUCCAUCACACCAGACUGGUGCAACGUCACCCUGGAGUGCAGAACCUCUGGCGCCACAAAAGACCUGAAUGUGACCUGGGAGAACAAGGGCAUCCCUGGAGAAUGGGAGCAGAGAAGGACAUUAGAACCAGCUUGCAGCCCAUACAUUCUGGCUGUGAGCGUGCCGAGAGGCCAGCCCAAUGCCAGCCUCGUCUGUGUGGUCAGCAACCCGGUGGAAUAUAA
RNAcentral lists this long non-coding RNA (1280 nucleotides) under Bos indicus x Bos taurus (hybrid cattle). Its description in RNAcentral is "lncRNA (ENSBIXG00005005411.1)". Lineage: Eukaryota; Metazoa; Chordata; Mammalia; Artiodactyla; Bovidae. The record is from RNAcentral.